Sinocyclocheilus rhinocerous is the source of this 268-nucleotide long non-coding RNA. RefSeq lists it as uncharacterized. NCBI's taxonomy places the organism in Eukaryota, Metazoa, Chordata, Actinopteri, Cypriniformes, Cyprinidae. The record is from RefSeq and is a predicted model, not a curated record. The transcript is spliced from 3 exons.
GCAAAGUAAAUUACUGAGAGUUCGCAAGGUUUCUCGGGGAAAUAUAAGUGUUGUGGGCUAACGGUCUGAAAAAAUAAAAACGCUUGUUAUGAAUCCCUGGGACCCCAUUACCCUAUACAGUGACACCUGCUGCUAAGAUUUUAGCCAGAUGUGUAACAUCAGGCACCAUGACACAGGAGGAGCUCGAUGCCCUCCCACGGGAUUCAGAAGGCUUUUCUACAUCUUUACUUGAAGCUGAGCAGCUGAACAGAAUUAGACAUGAUCUUGA